GAAUAUUGGACAAUGGGGGAAACCCUGCUCCAGCCAUGCCGCGUGUGUGAAGAAGGUCUUCGUAUUGUAGAGCACUUUAAGUUGGGAGGAAGGUCGUCAAGGUAAUACCGUGAUGCUUUGACGUUACAAACAGAAGAAGCACCGCCUAACUCUGUGCCAGCAGCCGCGGUAAUACACAGGGGGCAAGCGUGAAUCGUAAUUACUGCGCGUAAAGCGCGCGUAGGUGGUUCAGUAAGAUGGGUGUGAAAUCCCCGGGCUCAACCUGGGAACUGCUUUCAUAACUGCUGAGCUAGAGUACGGUAGAGGGUAGUGGAAUUUCCUGUGUAGAGGGGAAAUGCGUAGAUAUAGGAAGGAAAACCAGUGGCGAAGGUGACUACCUGGACUGAUACUGACACUGAGGUGCGAAAGCGUGGGGAGCAAACAG
Molecule: ribosomal RNA, 424 nt
Filed under: uncultured bacterium
Lineage: Bacteria
Description: partial 16S ribosomal RNA
Rfam family: Bacterial small subunit ribosomal RNA
Source: RNAcentral